This 334-nucleotide unclassified non-coding RNA is filed under the name soil metagenome. RNAcentral's name for it is "partial contains 5.8S ribosomal RNA, internal transcribed spacer 2, and large subunit ribosomal RNA". The stretch from base 1 to 120 matches the Rfam family "5.8S ribosomal RNA", at positions 35 to 154 of the family's 154-position model. The record is from RNAcentral.
GAUGAAGAACGUAGCGAAAUGGGAUAAGUAAUGUGAAUUGCAGAAUUCAGUGAAUCAUCGAAUCUUUGAACGCACAUUGCGCCCGCCAGUAUUCUGGCGGGCAUGCCUGUUCGAGCGUCAUUUCAACCAUCAAGCCCCAGGCUUGUGUUGGAGCCCUGCGGCUGCCGCAGCCUCCCAAAACCAGUGGCGGGCUCGCUAUCACACCGAGUGCAGUAGUUUACUCUUCGCUCAGGGCGUGUGGCGGGUGCUAGCCGUGAAACCCCCAACUUCUCAAGGUUGACCUCGGAUCAGGGAGGAAUACCCGCUGAACUUAAGCAUAUCAAUAAGCGGAGGA